Molecule: long non-coding RNA, 363 nt
Organism: Tachyglossus aculeatus (Australian echidna)
Lineage: Eukaryota; Metazoa; Chordata; Mammalia; Monotremata; Tachyglossidae
Exons: 3
Source: RefSeq, a predicted model, not a curated record
UGACAAGCGGUGGAGCGGGAUUAGAACUCAUGACCUUCUGAUUCCCAGGGCCCAGCAGACCUCCAGCGCGGAAGAGGACAACUCAGGGCCGUGCACCUCACACUUCAGCUUCGGGAGGGUCCUCUCCGGCGUCCGGUUCACCGAUACUGCCCACGAGAGAGACCGUCAGCCCAGCCCAGGAGGCCUGGGCCCGGCCUUCCUCCGCUGGCGGGAGAGGUGCCCGGGCUCGACCUUCUGCUCCAACUUCCCGCUGGGUUGAUUCUCGAUCCUCAGGCGGAGGCAGCCCGAGCCGGCGUGCUGGGUCCGGAGGCGAUUCACCCUGAAGCUGAGGUUGUGGCCCGAGCCCUCCUCCGUGGGCCCCAG